UUGGUUGGGGAUGUUGGUGUUGGUUGGGUCAUCGGUCGGGGGUGUCGGUCGGCUCGUGGGUGACGCCGGUGCCACCCCCGCCCGCAGUGACGGCGAGGAGAAGGCCUCGGGCAGCUCGGGGCGCUCUCUGGGCGCGGCGGGCGCGGCGCUGGGCAGCGACGACAGCCUGGCCGGCUACGGGGGCAGCGCCGACGUGCAGUUCAACGAGGACGGCUCCUUCAUCGGGCAGUACAGCGGCACCCGCGGCACCGCCGCCGGCAGCUCCGGCCCCGCCAGCCCCUCCAACGCCGCCCCCCUCGACUGAGCGGGACCCCCGGGGCGGGUGGGGGGACCCCCGGGGUUGAGGGGAGUCCCCCUGGCAGUGGGGACCCCCCUCGACUGAGUGGGACCCCCAGAAUGGGUGGGGGGACCCUGAAGGUUGAGGGGAGCCCCCAUGGCAGUGGGGACCCCCCUCGACUGAGUGGGACCCCUGGAGUGGGUGGGGGGACCCUCGGGGUCGGGGGGAGCCCCCACGGCAGUGGGGACCCCCCUUAAGUGAACGGGGCCCCCCGGGGGCGGGGGGGACCCGGGGGCUCUGGGGUGCCCUGGGGAAGGGGGGGGCUGCCCAGACGGCACCAGGGGAGCCCCCCAUGGCAGUGGGGACCCCCCAGGGAUGUGAUGGGACCCCCAGAGGGACCCCUGGGGGUGGGGGACACUGUGGGAAAGGGGGGGCACCACUGGGGGAGCCCCCCCAUGGCAGUGGGGACCCUCCAGGGAUGUGAUGGGACCUUCAGGGCACUGGGGACCCCCCCAGUACUGGGAGGGACCCCCCCCAUGUCACACUGGGACCCCCACGGCACUGGGAAC
Molecule: RNA transcript, 846 nt
Organism: Corapipo altera (White-ruffed manakin)
Lineage: Eukaryota; Metazoa; Chordata; Aves; Passeriformes; Pipridae
Gene name: neural cell adhesion molecule L1-like
Exons: 2
Source: RefSeq, a predicted model, not a curated record